Molecule: long non-coding RNA, 1728 nt
Organism: Acanthochromis polyacanthus (spiny chromis)
Lineage: Eukaryota; Metazoa; Chordata; Actinopteri; Pomacentridae
Exons: 2
Source: RefSeq, a predicted model, not a curated record
CUAUAAGUGAAUAUACAGGGAGAAGCUCACAGAUUCAAAUCACUGAUAUUUUCAGUGUGGUUUGCACAACACAACCACCUAAUUCUUCAUGCAGUUACAUUUACAACACAGAACAAAAACAACCACUUUAAAGUUUCCUGUUCUUUUACUAUUCAACACCAUUAAACACAAACUUAGAUGAAUGUAGAGACCAGUGCAGCGUAGCGCAACGCUGAAAUGUUGAGAAGUCAUUAAAAAACUGUGUUCAGCUGUAACAGUCAGCGAGGAAACUUAAAUAUUAAGAAGUACAAAUGUGCUUGCCACAACAACGGCAAUACAGCUCCAGUAGUCAGGGAUUGAAUGCAGACUAUUGGGCAGUGUUUCAAUGUUCAAGUCAAUGGGACAAAAGUCAGAGAUCUGGUCAAUGCAAAUCUAUUCUUAAUAUAUCACAAGCAGUAGUCCAGUAAAUAAGAAACACCAGCUGUGUGUCAAACAGGAGAUUCACUGGCAAGGUGACACCUUCUUCAGAUUCCAUUCCAGAAAUCAGAAAUUCUAAAUUUUAUAUAUAUUAAAUUACAUAAAAAAGGUAAUAUAUCUAUAAAAAGGUACUAUAUCUCGGUAUACCCAAGCAGUAUUCGUUCUGGUGUUGUAUAUCUAGUGAGUGGAAGUAUGACGUCUAAACAAUCAGGAGAAGUGGAAGAAGAAGAAAUGGAGCAGCAACAUGAUCUUGACCCAUUUCUGAGCUCUUUGGCAGCAGCUACUGUAGAAGAUGCAGGAACCGACCACAUGAAGCUAUGGAUGGGGCUGCUGGAGAGAGAGUGGAGCAGACGAGAGUUUGCCGUGGAGCAGGCCGGCUGGAGACGCCUCCACAGCGUGUCAUUUGAAAACGAGAGAGCAACCUCCGAGCCAGACAGCGACGAGGUGCUGAAAUACGAACCUGUGGCUCCUCAUACGAGCGGCACCAGUUCAGGCUGUGAGACGCUAUCGAUCAGCGGAGAAGCAGAGCAGGAGACGGCCCGGAUAAACUGAUUUAUUGGGCUUCAUUCUGCCAGCGUGAUUGAGACUUAAUCAAUGGGAAAUAUCAUUUUAUUGAAUACAAUCAAGAGGAAAAUAAUCAGCACUGAUGAGCUUGCAGCUGAUUAGACUACACUGAUUAGACUCUUCUGUCUGCUGAAACAAUACCAACACCUUUUUUUAACUGCAGAUUACUCGUGCUUUAAUAAUUAUUAUAUCAAUGAAAAAAAAGCAAAAGUUCACUUGGAUGUCCUCCCACGUUACAAAAAGAGCACAGUUUCUUUCUAAGUUCAACCAAUUAAGACCAUUUCUGGAUGAAAGCUUCUGAUAAUUCACAUCCUCAGCUGGGAAAAAUGCUGGUUUUAAACUCCAAUAAAUUGAGUUUUUAAAAAAAGAACAUCGGUAAAAGAUAACAAUGUGCUAUUAAUCUGACAAAGAGAACCAAACACUCACUUAUUGACACUGUUUACUCCUUUCCUUGUGAGAAUCUGUAAACUGGAGAUGUAUGCUAAGCUGGUGGAGAAUGUAUAUGCUAAAUAUUAGACAGUAAGAUCUUUACUUUUCCUGCAGAAAUCCAGGAUUUUCAAAGCUGUGCAUGCCUGUUUGCAGUGUAUGUAUUGGAAUAAAGAUGCGUUCAUCAACUCUCAUUAAAGUGAGCAUGCAAAUGUUGUCGUUAAAUAAUAAAUCCAACCUUGAAAGGCUGUUAUCAUACAAAUAAACUGGAUUGGAUUUUCA